Long non-coding RNA from Taeniopygia guttata (zebra finch), 6124 nucleotides. The record is from Ensembl. Lineage: Eukaryota; Metazoa; Chordata; Aves; Passeriformes; Estrildidae.
UUUUUUUUUUUUUUUUUUUUUUUGUACACACAAGGUACAUUUGCUGUUCUCCAUUACAAAUUAACAAAACAUUUUUUCCUAACUGUAUUAGUUUACUAGUACAGUUUACUGGAUAGUGGACAAACUAUCAGUUGUACUUUGUGUUUCUCAUAUGCUUUCUCAAAUUUGAGAAUUUGCUGAUUAUUAAAAUAGUUUUUAAAAUUUUUUUUUUAAGAAGUGAAACACUAUUUCAGAUUACACUGUCUCUGUAUAAGCUGUCAUUUCAGCUAACAUCACCAACAAUGUAUUUUUCCUGUACUGUAAUUGUUUUAGGCAUGACUAUUUUCUCAUAGCAUGCAGCUAGUCUUGCUUAUUAGAAAUAAUAAGUAUAUAGAUAUAAACAUAUUCAUAUAAUACUUAAUUAGAAAUAUUUAGUUUAGAAUUAGUUAAGUGAUGGCUUGGUAAAAAGAAAUGUCUGGAUUUAUUAUUUAUCAAUUAAAACCACCAUAGAAAUAUUUUAUGUUUGUAUGAUUAUUCUACAUUUAAGAUGGAAUGAUUAGUUCAUUUCAAACUAUCAUUAUUUCAAGAGCAUUUCAUGAUUCCUCUUCUGUUACUACAGUUUUUUUUUUUCGCUAGGAGACUUAGCAAGAUUUGUAUCUAGCAUAAGAUUUUGUUGUUGCUAGAAGGCUGAGUGAUCAGCUGCCCGACAUUGGACCAGUAUCUCAUUUCCUGUUUUCUGCAGGUGUCUAUUGACAUAUAGGAAGUAAUUUUUUCCUGGCAGUCAAAUUAUUUUACUUGGUUUGGAUGGACAAUCUUGUUGACUGGUUUUCUUGACACUGAAAUGAAUCAAUAAGGACACAAUCCAUUCUAUGUUCAUGAAGCUGAGGUUGUCAUCCCAGUAAACUGCUUAUUAUGCAUUACCACUUACACCUACAUGUGAGAGAGGAGAGCCAAUGUCUUGUAGUCUCAGAUUCCAAGCUGUGUGAAAAACUCGGACUCCUGGUUCCAAGAACCUAAGGAUCAUAAAUGUUGUGCACAAAAUAUCAUGCUAGUGUUUUCUGGGUGUAAUACCUGUUAAAAUUGACACAAAUUAAAGCAACAUGUGGAGACUGUGGGAGGCUUUGAUAUAAUAAAUCCUAGGACCCUUUUUUUCAUGCUUUAUGAAGUUACCUUUUCAUUUAGGCUGAAGUUUCUUUACCAUUGAUUUAAUUUAUUGCUUUGUUUUUUCCCAUUUUAAUUUGCUACAUAUACAACAUCUUCUCCAGUAUCUUACCUUUAAAUCAAUUUGUUGCUUGCAAAGCAGUUGUCUCACUUUAGUUUCUACAACAUAUCUACAUGGGACUCUAAUAGCUAAAUAAUUUCCUCUUUUGUUAUUUAAUUUUACACUUAUUGGGUAAGUGUACACAUUGGAAAUAUUUUCUUUUGCUUCUUAGUAUCUAGAGGCUUCUACUGAAGUACUCCUGAAACUGUUGUGUCCUUCAGUUUUAACUGCUUGGCUUGGUUAGCUUUACCUUGAAGACUUUCAAUUUUCAAUGGCUUUUCAAUAUAUAAAUUAAAUGUUUCACCUGAAAUUUGAUUGAACAUAGAUGCUUUCAACACCUUUACUCAUUACCUGUUAAGUAUGUUCAUUAAUCAACAUUUCCUAUUUUAAAUAAAAAUGUAUUAUUCUGACACUUGUGAUUACAGUCUCCUAGCAACUUUCUCCAACCUGUCCUUUUCAUUUCUAUGGUCUAAGGCCAGAAAGGAGUGAAGAUAACCCUAAUUCUGCACGUGGUUUAAUCCUUUUCCCCAUGUGGUAUAACUUUAAUUUGUUAAAGGAGCUGAUAUCUGUAAUUUUAUUAGACUAAUGAUAAAGUACAGUAUUAAACUUCCAUUCUACAUGUCAGUGUAACCUAUAUCAUAGAAAGAAAAAUCUUUUCCCACAUAUUCACUUGCAGCCUGCAGUUAGCAGGCUGAUUCUUUCUCACACAGAAAACUCCAGCAAGGCAUCUUAAAGGAAAAACUUAAUUCAAUAGGUUUUUUCAAUACUUCAGUAAGAAUCAACUUUUCUUCAUUUUACAUGCUGCUCUCCUCAAUCCAAGUGGCUGCAUGAGGUAAAUUUUCUCGUCCCCAGUUGCCAAGUGCCUUCUCCUUGUUGAAGUCCUCCUUAAGCUUUUCUCUGAAAUUACUUCCUUUUUUUAUUUAUGUCCAUAUAUCUAUAGUAUUUUUUUUCUCCUGGAACAUAUUUUUGUGUCCUGUCACAGUUCAUUCUUACAAAAUUGUGUAAACUCUUCUCCUUGGGUGCUUGAUCUUACAAUCUCUGGCACCCUGUAAGACAGCUGCACGGCUUUCAGGAGAGGAAAGUCUGUAAUUCUUUAAGAGUAGAUCUUAAAAAUAAUAGUUCAUAAACCAUCAUAUAUCUUUAUAUAUGUAUAAACUUACAUAUUAAGAAACCCAUUCUUCCUUGCUAUUAGGGUGCAAUUUCUCAUUUUUCACCAUACUUGAAUUUAGGGCUGAACAGAUCUGUUUGCGCUGGUUUGCACUUACUCCAUAGCUCCAUCUUUAUGGAUACACAAGGAGAAAGCAUGACUAAUGACAAAAUCAGUGUUCAUCCUUUCUAUGUAAACCAAAGCUUUGAAAUUAAGUAUCUUAUCCUGUACUUGAAUUUAAAUUUGCUAGUCAUCCAUAUUGUUUACAACACUAUUUAAUAGAGACAUGCAGGAAAAAUUCUGUAGAUUUUUGAAGGAGCGAAAACCUGCAUAUGCUCACAGUUUUAGUAUGGGCUCAAGCUUUUGUUUCUAUAAUCUUCAUAGGGCAAAUACAGGUAGCUUGAGUGCACUCUCCUCUAGGAGAUAUUACAAAUUCAUUUUUAUUUCGUUGAGAAAACAUCCUGAGCCAACAUCCUGGUCCUGUGUGGUUUGGAGCCAGAUAUAAGUUUAUAAAGAAAGAGCCUAGGAGACAGGCUCUUAAGUCAUGCUUAAACCCAGUCCAGGCUUUGCCCCAUUGUCUUUGCAGAGAAAGAACUUGAAUGAGAAUGAAGAUACUAUUUCUGUGGCACCGUUUUUAAGAAAACAUGGAUUCUAGGCUGGAAACAUGGGCACCAGCAGUUUGAACUCCUUUGUUUAUUCUAAGAGUCACAGGAGGGAAACCACACAAGGGUUUUGCCUGAGAAAAAAAUGAACUGGAGAAGCAAUAAAGAAGUAGAGAGUUUGCUGGGGCACUCUCAGAUCCUUCUGCAGAACCAGUGAUGUGAAAGUUGAAACUGAUGCUUCUUUUAUGACUCCCUAAUUCUAUGAUUUUUUUUUUUUUAAUGGGGGUUAGUGGAAGAAGGCAGCAUGCAUCCUCUCUGUUUUUAUCUACUAUUGAGCUCAGUGACACCGAACAAUCUGAGAAUACUUGCAAUACAUGGAGAAUACUUACCAUGUGAAAUGCAUUCAAAAUGGCUUAGAAAUUAAUUCUCUGUGUCUGUUUAUAUUCUCUGUGGCUGUUUAUAAAUACACUCAGUUGGGCUCAAGCAUUCAAAGCCACCUCCUUAUGAUAUGUAGUGAAUUUACUAACAUAGAUGGGGAACUGUGCCAUGUAUACUGGCCAGAGUACCAAAAAACCCAGAUAGGCUUAGUUUUCUGGUGUAGUAUAGCUUAGCUGUUAAAUGUUGAACUCCUGUGGCUGAACUGGUCAACAAAAGUCAUUUGGAUAUAUAUUUUCCUGUUUUCUCAAGCUCCGAACAAAAGCUUCUUCUUUAGGACUUUCACAAUUAAUUUUCAACAUCAAAUUACAUACUAUUUUUUUGAUACAGAUACAAGAUAAGGCACUGGGGAAGUGCACAUUGAAACACUUUCAAUCAUUUACCAGCAGCUCUGGAUAACCAGGGAGGCCCCUGUUCAGUGGAAGUUGGUAAAUGUGACACUCAUCUCCAAGAAGGGAUAGAAAAACGAUCUGGGAACUACAGAUCUGUCAGCUUGACCUCAAUGCCAGGGAAGAUCAUGGAGCUGAUCAUCUUGAGUGCCAUCACACGGCACAUGCAGGACAAUCAGAGCAUCAGGGUGAGCCAGCCUGCAUUUGUAAAAGGCAGGUCCUGUUUGACCUUGUCCUACCUGCUGAUGCAGCCUCACAUUGAGUCCUGUGUGUAGUUUUGGGUAGUACAAUAUGAGAAAGACAUUAAGCUGUUAAAAAGUGCACAAAGGAGGGCAAAAAAUAUGGUGAAGAGCCUUGAGGAACAGCUGAGGUAACUUGGUCUGUUCAGCCUGGAGAAGAUGACACUGCAAAGACAUUGAGGUGCUGGAGUGUGUCCAGCAGGACUGUGAGGGGUCUGGAGCCCAAGCCUUAUGAGGAGCAGCUGAGGAAGCUGCUGUUGUAUAGCCUGAGAUCCCUCAGGAGGAUCCCUCAGGACACUCAGGAGGGACCUGUUUGAUCUCUACAACUCCCUGAGUGGAAGUUGUGGCAAGGUGGGAUUGUGGGGAAGUUUCUUUGCCUGAACAACAAGUGAUAGGAUAUGAGGAACUGGCCCCACAUUGCACCAGGAGAGGAUUAGAAUGCAUAUUAGGAAAAACUUCUUUAUGGAAAGGUUGUCAAGCAUUGGAAUAGGCUUCCAUGGAACUGGUUGAGUCAUCAUCCUGGAAGUAUAUAAAAUGCCUGUAGAUGUGGUACCUGGGGACAUGGUUUGGUGGUGGAUUGAAGUGGUUGGAUUUGAUGAUCUUAGAGGUCUUUUACAAAUUAAAUGAUUCUUUGAUUCUAUGACUCUAAACAGGAUCUUGCUGAUUUCAGUUCAUUGAUUCACAGGUUUGGAGGAAUGUUCUCUCUAUGCUAUGUUAUGAAUAGUAGCAAUAGAGAAAACAAAAUGGGAAAUAGAAGACUUACAGAAAGACUUAAAGCUGUAUAGAACAUUUACCUGCUGACUUUAUCUGUGCAUUUUGCUACUAUCAGCUUCUUCUCUAUGGGCUAAAUUCAACUCCAUCUUGGAGGUAUCAAUAAAAUUAAUUCCUCCUCCUCAAAAAAAAACCCCCAAAAAAACCCCAAAAAAACCUCUUUCUGGUUCCUGCUGCUUGCCAACUACUUUUCUGGUUUCCCUGCUUCAAACUUUCUCCACUCCUUUUCACUUUCAUCUUAAUAUAUUCCUUUGUCUCCUUUCCCUCCUUCAGCUCUCAGAAUUGAAUUUUGUAUCUACAUAGUUUAAUACAGUGGAAAUAUAGUAGGGUGGAUUAUAUAUGUUAUACAGAAUAGAAUUAAACAAAAUUGCACACACUAGCAAGAUGUACAUUUUAGGUCUAUCCUUUAUUUCUGGCUCAUUGUGAAAAAACGGAAUUGAAUUAACCAGUUAAUUACUGGUUCUUAGAAAAAUAAACUCUAUUUUAAAAAAGGAAGAAAAAAGGCAAGUUUGUUGGACAAUGAAAAUUAGUGGCUGAUUACUAUGGGAAAUUUCUAUAUUUUGAAGCAUUAAACAGGAAGGAAAGAAUGGAAGCAAGGAAUGAAAAAAGCAAGAAAGAUGAAGGAGAAGAGAAAAAAGGAAGAAAAGAAGGAGAGACAACUAUGUAACCCAGUUACAUUUUGUUUAACCUCAAAGGAAGAUUUUGCUCUCCUGCAAGUUAUUCACUUAUGCACUUGCUAUGAAAUCAGCAUUGUGAGUAAGUUGAUAGCCUGCACAGGGAAGGAAAGAAUGGCAAGCUGAUUACUUUAUGGUUAUUUCACAAAACUGAUGAGACAGCAAAUGAUAUUCAAUCCUAUUAAAAAGACUAAGCACAGCCUUUUUUCCACCCUUUAAAAAAAAAAAUCCUACCUUCCUCGUGCUGGGAUUGGAUGAUAUGAUUCUACAAUUCAGGGAGUCUGCAGAACAUCUGCAAUGAAAUUGGUUUUCUGUGGAAAACUGAUGAAUCACUUACUGCCAAUGACUGCAAGGAAAAGUACUUGUUUAUGCCCUUAUGUAAUGAAUUUUUAUGAGGUGAAGUUUUCUGUUUAUAAAAAAUACCCUUUCAGUUGCUGCAGAUGUAAAAUAAUAGAAUUCAGAAUUUAGACCACCACAUUACUGAAAAGGCAGUCAGUAGCCGAAUAUCAUCAUCUACUUACAAUAUACCAAAAAGGGGUUUGUACUUCUAUAAUAGAAUUAAAAUUUCCAUCCAUUCCAUAAGGUCUUGCAAGAGAACCAAAAAAAAAAAAAAAAAAAAAAAAAAAA